Non-coding RNA from Monodelphis domestica (gray short-tailed opossum), 46 nucleotides. Lineage: Eukaryota; Metazoa; Chordata; Mammalia; Didelphimorphia; Didelphidae. The record is from Rfam.
GGAAAGGUUUUUCUUAAAACCACCUCUAAGUGAAAUCGAGGAAAGU